RNAcentral lists this ribosomal RNA (504 nucleotides) under uncultured bacterium. RNAcentral's name for it is "bacterial SSU rRNA". It matches the Rfam family "Bacterial small subunit ribosomal RNA", at positions 8 to 509 of the family's 1533-position model. The record is from RNAcentral.
AGAGUUUGAUCCUGGCUCAGGAUGAACGCUAGCUGCAGGCUUAACACAUGCAAGUCGAGGGGCAGCGAGGGUAGCAAUACCUGUCGGCGACCGGCGGAAGGGUGCGUAACGCGUGAGCAACUUGCCCGUAUCUGGGGGAUAGUCACUGGAAACGGUGCGUAAUACCCCAUAACAACGGAUCCCGCAUGGGAACUGUUUGAAAGAAUUUCGGAUACGGAUAGGCUCGCGAGACAUUAGCUAGUUGGCGGGGUAACGGCCCACCAAGGCGACGAUGUCUAGGGGUUCUGAGAGGAAGGUCCCCCACAUUGGAACUGAGACACGGUCCAAACUCCUACGGGAGGCAGCAGUGAGGAAUAUUGGUCAAUGGCCGAAAGGCUGAACCAGCCAUGCCGCGUGCAGGAUUAAGGCCCUAUGGGUCGUAAACUGCUUUUGUGGUGGAGCAAUAAGACGUACGUGUACGUCGAUGAGAGUACAUCACGAAUAAGCAUCGGCUAACUCCGUGCC